GCUCCACUCUGUCCUCUUGCUUAUAUGAUGGAGACGAACUUGACUCGCGACGCGGAGCCGGCUGACAUGCUGCCAGAGAGCGGUCGGAGGUGCAAAAGAGGUCCUCGCAAGAGGAGAAUACCAUUAUGCACGGACCAAGGCUGGUUUUUGGGUGACCACUUUGGGGUAAGAGUCAUGUGUAUAUGUUCUCAUGUAGAAAUUCCACAAAUUACUUACACAUGCAUGUAGCAUUUUUCUAUAUAUUGUGCUACCAUUUUGAGUUCAGAAUUUUCAUUUAUAAUUAAUCCAUCAAUGUACUACAUCCAAUGUAUUCUAUGUCGUUGGUUGUUUGAACAGGGCACAUCCUGCCUCCGGGAUGCACCUUCUGCAAGUGAAGGCCGAAACCGUGGACUCAGAACAAACGGGCCCCAUUGGACUACGGAAGAUGUGACUACACUAGUUGAUGGUCUUGAAGAAUUUAGGGGUCGACGAUGGUCUGCGAUAAAGAAGAAAUAUUUUCCAACGUCAGAUCGAACUACGGAGAAUCUUAAGGAUAAGUGGAAAAAUCUGCGAAAAUCAUACACAGGAAAUGCAGAAAGAAGAUGCUAUCUAGUUCUUCCUGAUCAUUUGAUCGAACGAAUCAUGAGGCUAGCAGUGAUUGGUAACUGAAAGGAAGAUGCCCUGGUGAAUGGUACAAGAGUCACUGUUUAGGACUUUUGGUGUAGAGUGGUCAGUAGCUAGCUUGAAUCAGCAGAGAAUAACUUUUAUUGAUGUAGAGCCAUGUCUAGUUCUUCCGGAUCAUUUGAUCGAACGAAUCAAGAGGCUAGCAGCGACUGGUAACUGAAAGGAAGAUGCCCUGAUGUAUGGUACAAGAGUCACUGUUUAGGACUUUUGGUGUAGAGUGGUCAGUAGCUAGCUUGAAUCAGCAGAUAAUAACUUGUACGUAUUGAAGUAGAGCCCUGUCUCCUAAUCCAUUUUAAUAGCCCAGUGUUAAGCCAGCAUUAUUUGAAGAAGACAUGAUGUUUUAGCAGUG
Long non-coding RNA from Aegilops tauschii subsp. strangulata, 1012 nucleotides. RefSeq lists it as uncharacterized. NCBI's taxonomy places the organism in Eukaryota, Viridiplantae, Streptophyta, Magnoliopsida, Poales, Poaceae. The record is from RefSeq and is a predicted model, not a curated record.